GAUGAACGCUGGCGGCGUGCCUAAUACAUGCAAGUCGAGCGAACAGACGAGGCGCUUGCUCCUCUGACGUUAGCGGCGGACGGGUGUGUAACACGUGGAUAACCUACCUAUAAGACUGGGAUAACUUCGGGAAACCGGAGCUAAUACCGGAUAAUAUAUUGAACCGCAUGGUUCAAUAGUGAAAGACGGUUUUGCUGUCACUUCUAGCUGGAUCUCGGCCGCAUUAGCUAGUUGGUAAGGUAACGGCUUACCAAGGCAACGAUGCGUAGCCGACCUGAGAGGGUGAUCGGCCACACUGGAACUGAGACACGGACCAGACUCCUACGGGAGGCAGCAGUAGGGAAUCUGCCGCAAUGGGCGAAAGCCUGACGGAGCAACGCCGCGUGAGUGAUGAAGGUCUUCGGAUCGUAAAACUCUGUUAUUAGGGAAGAACAAAUGUGUAAGUAACUAUGCACGGCUUGACGGUACCUAAUCAGAAAGCCACGGCUAACUACGUG
RNAcentral lists this ribosomal RNA (497 nucleotides) under uncultured bacterium. RNAcentral describes it as "partial 16S ribosomal RNA". It matches the Rfam family "Bacterial small subunit ribosomal RNA", at positions 28 to 507 of the family's 1533-position model. The record is from RNAcentral.